UUCCAUGAAAUUUGUGAGCAAUUUAAAUCAAAUAAAUCAUAGUUUUGUCAUAGAAAUAUUGUAAAGCUUGAAGAAUGCGACUAACAUUAUAGUUAUAUAUGCAGGUAGCAUCACCCUUUGGACUUUUUCUCUAAUGUGAAAGACAAUCUUUUGUAAGUUGCCAGUGGAGAAGUUUCUCUACCAUUUUUGCAAGGUUAGUCAUCUAGUUUUCCAUUUUCUUCGUGAUUUGUAAUGUCAAGUGUCUCUGUGUCCUUGACUAACUACCCACAGGGCGGCUAAUUUUUCAGAAUUCAAUUGGGUCACUGGUAUGGUCUUAAUCUGAUCUAUUAAACAUGUGGUAUUGAAAUGAACUGUCAUUAUACUUUUUGUCAUAUUUUUACCAUGAUUGCCAAAUUUGUUAUUUUUUUAUCAAUUGAUAAGAAGUUGAUCAUAACAAGAAUACUUUCUAUUGUAAAAUCAUAUGGUUCUUCUCAUAUAUGAUAGUAAAAAUGCAGUUUACACCAUAUCAUUAAUAGAGUUUGGAAUUCUCCGGGUCAUUAAAUAUUUUAUUGCAUGGCAGUAGACCACAAUGCCCUCUGGUUUUUUUAUGUGGAAGGACAAUAUUGUCAUGUAGGAUUUUGAUGCAACCUGCAUCACUUGGCGACUAGGCGUGUUUAAUACAAAACACGGGUUUAGCUAUUUGUACUGUUAGAGUGGACAUAUCUCAGAGCUAAUGUGAUUUUUGAUGAGCUCCCAUGUUAAGCAAGAUUGAGCUCCAAAACAGUGGAAGUGAUGCCUUUUCCACUGUUAUAGGUGAGAGGGUCCCGAUCGUGCACUUGUUUAUGGAAGAGGGGUUACGAGAAGCAAACAGAGAAGGAAGCAGUUCUUCAAUAAUUUUGAUGGAAUAUUUUCCGUUUUCUAAUUUUAGUGAAUAUUUUUUGUUUGUGAUGUAAUGAAUGAAAUAUUUUCGUGAUGUAAUAGAUGAAUGGAGUAUUUUCGUGAUGUAA
This is a long non-coding RNA of Mercurialis annua (annual mercury), 986 nucleotides long. RefSeq lists it as uncharacterized. The record is from RefSeq and is a predicted model, not a curated record. NCBI's taxonomy places the organism in Eukaryota, Viridiplantae, Streptophyta, Magnoliopsida, Malpighiales, Euphorbiaceae. The transcript is spliced from 2 exons.